GACGAACGCUGUCGGCGUGCUUAACACAUGCAAGUCGAACGGAAAGGCCCUGCUUUUGUGGGGUGCUCGAGUGGCGAACGGGUGAGUAACACGUGAGUAACCUGCCCUUGACUUUGGGAUAACUUCAGGAAACUGGGGCUAAUACCGGAUAGGAGCUCCUGCUGCAUGGUGGGGGUUGGAAAGUUUCGGCGGUUGGGGAUGGACUCGCGGCUUAUCAGCUUGUUGGUGGGGUAGUGGCUUACCAAGGCUUUGACGGGUAGCCGGCCUGAGAGGGUGACCGGCCACAUUGGGACUGAGAUACGGCCCAGACUCCUACGGGAGGCAGCAGUGGGGAAUAUUGCACAAUGGGCGGAAGCCUGAUGCAGCAACGCCGCGUGCGGGAUGACGGCCUUCGGGUUGUAAACCGCUUUCGCCUGUGACGAAGCGUGAGUGACGGUAAUGGGUAAAGAAGCACCGGCUAACUACGUGCCAGCAGCCGCGGUGAUACGUAGGGUGCGAGCGUUGUCCGGAUUUAUUGGGCGUAAAGGGCUCGUAGGUGGUUGAUCGCGUCGGAAGUGUAAUCUUGGGGCUUAACCCUGAGCGUGCUUUCGAUACGGGUUGACUUGAGGAAGGUAGGGGAGAAUGGAAUUCCUGGUGGAGCGGUGGAAUGCGCAGAUAUCAGGAGGAACACCAGUGGCGAAGGCGGUUCUCUGGGCCUUUCCUGACGCUGAGGAGCGAAAGCGUGGGGAGCGAACAGGCUUAGAUACCCUGGUAGUCCACGCUGUAAACGGUGGGUACUAGGUGUGGGGUCCAUUCCACGGGUUCCGUGCCGUAGCUAACGCUUUAAAUACCCCGCCUGGGGAGUACGGCCGCAAGGCUAAAACUCAAAGGAAUUGACGGGGCCCCGCACAAGCGGCGGAGCAUGCGGAUUAAUUCGAUGCAACGCGUAGAACCUUACCUGGGUUUGACAUGGAUCGGGAGUGCUCAGAGAUGGGUGUGCCUCUUUUGGGGUCGGUUCACAGGUGGUGCAUGGCUGUCGUCAGCUCGUGUCGUGAGAUGUUGGGUUAAGUCCCGCAACGAGCGCAACCCUUGUUCACUGUUGCCAGCACGUUAUGGUGGGGACUCAGUGGAGACCGCCGGGGUCAACUCGGAGGAAGGUGGGGAUGACGUCAAGUCAUCAUGCCCCUUAUGUCCAGGGCUUCACGCAUGCUACAAUGGCUGGUACAGAGAGUGGCGAGCCUGUGAGGGUGAGCGAAUCUCGGAAAGCCGGUCUCAGUUCGGAUUGGGGUCUGCAACUCGACCUCAUGAAGUCGGAGUCGCUAGUAAUCGCAGAUCAGCAACGCUGCGGUGAAUACGUUCCCGGG
RNAcentral lists this ribosomal RNA (1343 nucleotides) under uncultured bacterium. Its description in RNAcentral is "16S ribosomal RNA". It matches the Rfam family "Bacterial small subunit ribosomal RNA", at positions 28 to 1378 of the family's 1533-position model. The record is from RNAcentral.